UCUAGAAAUUUGGGCAAUGGGCGAAAGCCUGACCCAGCGACACCGCGUGUAGGAUGACGUCUUUCGGGAUGUAAACUUCUGACAGGGGGAACGAGGCCGCACCGGAGUAACUGCCGGUGUGGUGACGGUACUCCCAAAGGAAGCCCCGGCUAACUACGUGCCAGCGGCCGCGGUAAUACGUAGGGUGCAAGCGUUGUCCGGAUUCACUGGGCGUAAAGGGUGUGUAGGCCGACUGGAAAGUCCUUAGUGAAAGCCUAUGGCUCAACCGUAGAAUUGCUACGGAUACUUCCGGUCUUGGGGAUAGGAGAGGAGGAUGGAACUUUCGGUGUAGCGGUAGAAUGCGUAGAUAUCGAAAGGAACACCAAUGGCGAAGGCAGUCCUCUGGAAUAUUCCCGACGCUGAAACACGAAAGCUGGGGGAGCAAACAGGAUUAGAUACCCUGGUAGUCCCAGCCCUAAACGAUGUAUAUUUGGUGUUGCCCAUUUUGGGCAGUGCCGAAGCUAACGCGAUAAAUGUACCGCCUGGGGACUACGGCCGCAAGGUUG
This 545-nucleotide ribosomal RNA is filed under the name uncultured bacterium. RNAcentral's name for it is "bacterial SSU rRNA". It matches the Rfam family "Bacterial small subunit ribosomal RNA", at positions 355 to 896 of the family's 1533-position model. The record is from RNAcentral.